GUUGAAUGAAUGAGAAUGGAUUUUUGGAAGUAAUGCUUUCAACCAUGCGCUUCUCUGUCCAACACUUGAGAAAAGUUCAGUUUGGAGGCACCACUGAUGAAAAAAGUUCACUGGGGAAUAACCAACGAAUGCAAGAAUCUAUUUCAAUAUUGCACAAAAAGGAAAAGGCAUUGCAAGAGGAGAACAGGCAGCUAGCAAAUAAGAAUGAUUGAAGUUAUAUCGGGUUGAAAGCUGAGCAAUUGUGUAGAUAGCCAGGCGAUCAUUGAAGGUUGAAGAUUGAAGAUUGCGAAGACGUUUAGAAUUUUUCUUAUUUACAUCUUGUAUUAGGAUCUUUUUUCAUAUACUGUUGUAGAAUGUAUAUAUAAACACAAUAUUAAGUUUUCAUUUUGUGUAUACAAA
Molecule: long non-coding RNA, 399 nt
Organism: Cucumis melo (muskmelon)
Lineage: Eukaryota; Viridiplantae; Streptophyta; Magnoliopsida; Cucurbitales; Cucurbitaceae
Exons: 4
Source: RefSeq, a predicted model, not a curated record